Molecule: long non-coding RNA, 267 nt
Organism: Musca domestica (house fly)
Lineage: Eukaryota; Metazoa; Arthropoda; Insecta; Diptera; Muscidae
Exons: 2
Source: RefSeq, a predicted model, not a curated record
CAACCAGGCGUAACAUUCCCCCCACUAGGCAUCCCCAUAAUCAAACACCUGUGUAUAAAAAUUAAAAAAAAACCUAUUAAAAUAAUAAAAGAAAAAGAAUGAAAAAAAGACCGUCAUCAUCCAUUGCCAAUGCCGUCAACAUCAAAAGGAUACACAACCCAAGGUCAUUGUUGGAUUGUUACAGUUUCCCCAUAUGUAUUGUUGUUACUACCGCUGGUUCUUUGCCAAGGUUAUAGGCCUUGGCAUCUACUUGCCAAUUGUGUGACA